GCUAGCGUUGCUCGGAAUUACUGGGCGUAAAGGGCGCGCAGGCGGCCUUGGAAGUCAGAUGUGAAAGCCCCGGGCUCAACCUGGGAAUGGCAUUUGAUACUCUGAGGCUGGAGUACGGGAGAGGAGAGUGGAAUUCCCAGUGUAGAGGUGAAAUUCGUAGAUAUUGGGAAGAACACCGGUGGCGAAGGCGGCUCUCUGGACCGUAACUGACGCUGAGGCGCGAAAGCGUGGGGAGCAAACAGG
Molecule: ribosomal RNA, 243 nt
Filed under: uncultured bacterium
Lineage: Bacteria
Description: partial 16S ribosomal RNA
Rfam family: Bacterial small subunit ribosomal RNA
Source: RNAcentral